UUUAAACAGGAGGGAAUAGUUUAGAAUAUGUUUUCAUUCUAGAAUGCUUUUGUUGUCAUAGCUGUGCUAAGAGCCUCUUUUAAAAAUGUGGUCACGCAGCACAAAACCCACAAUGACUCGCCUACUCAUGUAUUUCCUGUUGGUCGAGGGUCUAUUUGCACCUGCAGUAAACAGAUCUGGAAGAAGUGAAAGAAGCAUACAGGAGCUGCAGCUGCUCUUUGACCCCGAUGUCCUUAAAAAGCAAACCAGCCUUACAGAUGAUUACGGUGAAAAGCCGCUCUCGCCUUCUCUACCCGGCACUGAAACUUCUUAUUGGCCCAACGCAGAGGAAGAAUACUACUAAAUGAAAAAACGGAGGACAACAAUUAAACUUGUUUUGUGACAUGUGUCAUUUGAUUUGUCAAUUUUUUUAACUUAAUUACUUUAUUUUAUGGCUUCUCAAAUUAGUUAUUACUUACAUUUAAAAAACUUUAUUUAUUUACAUAUUUACUUACAUACACUUAAAUCUAUAUGUAUGUUUGUAUGUUUGCUCCUAUCAAAGAUUGAUCUGGUUAAUCAGGUUUGAUGUGUUCCCAGUCCUCUCUUUUGUAUCCUUGCAGGUUAAACACAACUCCGGCACUCUUCCAUCAAACUUUGUCAUUAGCUAAGUCAACAAAGUAACACCCUGAUGAGUAAUCUGUAUGGCCGGUAUUGUGUUUUCUGUGAAAACUGCCUUUCAGCAGUGAAUAUUCUCCAGAAACUGUUUUGCAUGCUGCUUUUGAAACAGUGAUUUUACCUGAAAAACAGAAUACCAAAACAACAAAACAAAAAAAACUGUUUAAAAGAAAGACGCUAAGCUUAUUAUACUCUUAAAAGCUACUUGUACAGAUUUUGAAAAAUAAGAAAACAAUUUCAGUAAUCUGAGGUUAUGAAUUCUCCUUAAGUGAUUUCACAACCACAUUAAUUGUCUUCUGCUUCUCCAAGAUCAGGUUGCAGAGGCGACAGGUCCUUCUUAGCUUUUCAAGGCGUUCCAGACUUUAACAAAUAUAUAGUUCUUUCACAAAGUUCUGAGUCUUCCCCGGGGUCUCCAUUCCACAAGAGGCCUCCUAAUCACAUACCCAGACCAUCUAAAUUUCCUCUUUUCAACGUUGAGGAGCAGUGGCUCUACUUCAGGCUCCUCUCGGAUUAUGCAGCUCCUCCCCCUAUCACCAAGGCUUAAUCAGGCCACCGUAUUAAGGAAGCUUACUUUAGCUGCUUGUUUGUUCUUUCAGCCAUGAUCGAUAUCUAACGACUAGGGAUGGGUACCGAAUUCUGUACUUUUAUAGGUACCGACCAGUUCCCAUCGGUACUACUGAGGACCGAUUCACUUUAAAUCAAAUGUACCAUGUUUCGGUACCUAAAUGCAUCACUGUGACACUCAGGGAGUGGAAGAGUGGGCAAUUUUCCAUGCUGGACAUGAGCACAGCAUUGCACGCACAAGAGCUCAAUGACGUCAGUAGCUGCUAGUGGUCCAACAAAGUAAGCAUGGCAGUUAGAAAAAACGGUUGAAAGUAUGGCUCCAC
Molecule: long non-coding RNA, 1541 nt
Organism: Fundulus heteroclitus (mummichog)
Lineage: Eukaryota; Metazoa; Chordata; Actinopteri; Cyprinodontiformes; Fundulidae
Exons: 3
Source: RefSeq, a predicted model, not a curated record